Penaeus monodon (black tiger shrimp) is the source of this 239-nucleotide long non-coding RNA. RefSeq lists it as uncharacterized. NCBI's taxonomy places the organism in Eukaryota, Metazoa, Arthropoda, Malacostraca, Decapoda, Penaeidae. The record is from RefSeq and is a predicted model, not a curated record. The transcript is spliced from 2 exons.
CGCUUCCCAUACAAUUACUACUAUGGCUAGAUUAACCAGACAACCAUAACAAAGGGUACCAUACGUACUUAACAUCCAUAGAAAGCACUGAGCUUGAAAUUGGUAACAGUGCUACCCGAUUUCGUCCAAAAUCACUACCAAGGAAAUACGGUUCUCUAAAAGAAACCAAAAGGAAAUUAAUCUAAGCAUUUUGAAAAUUGUGGAUCUUUGGCAACCAGUUUAAUAAAUGUUUGGUUUCA